GCCCGGGUGGCGGAAUUGGCAGACGCAGGGGGCUUAAACCCCCCAGAGGGGAAACCCUCGUACGGGUUCAAGUCCCGUCCCGGGCA
Molecule: transfer RNA, 86 nt
Filed under: bacterium
Lineage: Bacteria
Also listed under: 2 other names
Description: tRNA-Leu
Rfam family: tRNA
About the family: Transfer RNA (tRNA) molecules are approximately 80 nucleotides in length. Their secondary structure includes four short double-helical elements and three loops (D, anti-codon, and T loops).
Source: RNAcentral